This 73-nucleotide non-coding RNA is filed under the name human gut metagenome. Its description in RNAcentral is "ZMP/ZTP riboswitch". It matches the Rfam family "ZMP/ZTP riboswitch aptamer (pfl RNA motif)". From Rfam's summary of the family: Previously known as pfl RNA. ZMP is also known as AICAR. The record is from RNAcentral.
UCUCUGCAACUGACGGAAAUGUGGAUUACCACAAGGGAACAGAGAACAUACUCGCCGACCGUCUGGGCACACU